RNAcentral lists this long non-coding RNA (1138 nucleotides) under Felis catus (domestic cat). Its description in RNAcentral is "lncRNA (ENSFCAG00000050884.1)". Lineage: Eukaryota; Metazoa; Chordata; Mammalia; Carnivora; Felidae. The record is from RNAcentral.
AGAUGGAGGCCAAAAUAUCAUCAUCAUUAACAAUAAUAAUACUAAGGGGUGCCUGGUGGAUUAGUCGAUUGAGCUUCUGACUCUUGAUUUUGGCUCAGGUCGUGAUCUCCGUUUGUGAGGUGGAGCCCCACAUCAGGCUCUGUGCUGGUGGCAUGGAGCCUACUUGGGAUUCUUUCUCUCCCUCUCUCUCUGCUCCUCCCCCACUCACACAUGCACAAAUACACAUUCUCUCUCUCUCUCAAAAUAAAUACAAUUUAAAAUAAUAAUAACAACAACAAUGAUAGUAAUAGAGGUUCCCGGGUGGCUCAGUCAGUUAAGUGUCCGACUUUGGCUCAGGUUAUGACCUCACGGUUCAUGGGUUCAUGCCCCUCAUCAGGCUCUGUGUUGACAGCUCAGAGCCUGGAGCCUGCUUGGGAUUCUGUGUCUCCCUCUCUCUCUGCCCCUCCCCUGCUCGUGCUCUCUCUCUGUCUCAAAAAUAAAUAAAAACAUUAAAAAAAAUUAAAAAAAAAAGAAAAGAAAAGCAGUCAUGGAUUCAGGCCAGAAACCCAAGUCAGGAAAAACAAAAGUGUGCUGGGAAGAACAUUUCCUCUAUCAUUUCCCUCUGGAACUAGGCGGCUGGACACAGAAAAAUUCCCCAAGAAGAGGAAUAUGCUUCAUGUCUCAGUCUCUGGAAACAGCAUUUGCAUAUUCAGCCUCUCCUGAGGAGCUGAACACACAGGAAACACUGAGAAAUGUUGCUGCUUUCAGAAGCAUCAAGAUGUAACUCCAAACAAAAGCUUUGUGCCCUGCAACUAGCUGUCCUUCUUCAUCUGGUGAGCAGCAUUCGUGGGUUCUCAAUCCCAUCUCUAGAAAACUAGUUGUCCCCGGUAGAGAAGCCGCAAACUCUCCAGGACCUCCAGGACCUCUGUCUCCAGGGACUCGGAGUCAAUGGCUGCCCUCCAGCACUGACACUGGACUGUCACUCCCUUUUUCUCCAUUCCUUUUUCUUUUAAAUCGAGUGCAGGGGUCACAAGGAACGGCUUCUGGGAGGAUAGACAGAACAGUUUCGCUCAACACAAUGUAAACGUUUUAUGGGAAAUAUUUGCUGUUUCAUGUAUAAUUGAAUAAAAACGUAACGAAUGUCUUUAUUAGUGUAACU